RNAcentral lists this ribosomal RNA (253 nucleotides) under uncultured bacterium. Its description in RNAcentral is "partial 16S ribosomal RNA". It matches the Rfam family "Bacterial small subunit ribosomal RNA", at positions 524 to 776 of the family's 1533-position model. The record is from RNAcentral.
UACGUAGGGGGCAAGCGUUGUCAGGAUUUAUUGGGCGUAAAGAGCGUGUAGGCGGCCUGACAGGUCUGCUGUGAAAACUCGAGGCUCAACCUCGAGAUGUCGGCGGAAACCGUCUGGCUAGAGUCCGGAAGAGGAGAGUGGAAUUCCUGGUGUAGCGGUGAAAUGCGCAGAUAUCAGGAAGAACACCUAUGGCGAAGGCAGCUCUCUGGGACGGUACUGACGCUGAGACGCGAAAGCGUGGGGAGCGAACAGG